RNAcentral lists this ribosomal RNA (159 nucleotides) under uncultured Methylobacterium sp. RNAcentral describes it as "partial 16S ribosomal RNA". It matches the Rfam family "Bacterial small subunit ribosomal RNA", at positions 374 to 551 of the family's 1533-position model. Lineage: Bacteria; Pseudomonadati; Pseudomonadota; Alphaproteobacteria; Hyphomicrobiales; Methylobacteriaceae. The record is from RNAcentral.
GGCGCAAGCCUGAUCCAGCCAUGCCGCGUGAGUGAUGAAGGCCUUAGGGUUGUAAAGCUCUUUUGUCCGGGACGAUAAUGACGGUACCGGAAGAAUAAGCCCCGGCUAACUUCGUGCCAGCAGCCGCGGUAAUACGUAGGUGCCAGCAGCCGCGGUAAU